UCUUUAUCACCGAGUGCUUGCACUCACCGGUAAAGGGUUGAGUGGCGAACGGGUGAGUAACACGUGGGCAACCUGCCCAAAAGAGGGGGAUAACACUUGGAAACAGGUGCUAAUACCGCAUAACCAUAGUUACCGCAUGGUAGCUAUGUAAAAGGUGGCUAUGCUACCGCUUUUGGAUGGGCCCGCGGCGCAUUAGCUAGUUGGUGGGGUAAAGGCUUACCAAGGCAAUGAUGCGUAGCCGAACUGAGAGGUUGAUCGGCCACAUUGGGACUGAGACACGGCCCAAACUCCUACGGGAGGCAGCAGUAGGGAAUCUUCCACAAUGGGCGAAAGCCUGAUGGAGCAACGCCGCGUGGGUGAAGAAGGUCUUCGGAUCGUAAAACCCUGUUGUUAGAGAAGAAAGUGCGUGAGAGUAACUGUUCACGUUUCGACGGUAUCUAACCAGAAAGCCACGGCUAACUACGUGCCAGCAGCCGCGGUAAUACGUAGGUGGCAAGCGUUAUCCGGAUUUAUUGGGCGUAAAGGGAACGCAGGCGGUCUUUUAAGUCUGAUGUGAAAGCCUUCGGCUUAACCGGAGUAGUGCAUUGGAAACUGGGAGACUUGAGUGCAGAAGAGGAGAGUGGAACUCCAUGUGUAGCGGUGAAAUGCGUAGAUAUAUGGAAGAACACCAGUGGCGAAAGCGGCUCUCUGGUCUGUAACUGACGCUGAGGUUCGAAAGCGUGGGUAGCAAACAGGAUUAGAUACCCUGGUAGUCCACGCCGUAAACG
Molecule: ribosomal RNA, 767 nt
Filed under: uncultured bacterium
Lineage: Bacteria
Description: bacterial SSU rRNA
Rfam family: Bacterial small subunit ribosomal RNA
Source: RNAcentral